UAUAUCCACGAGGAAGAAAACAAUCCUACGUGAAUCCCAACCUCACUUUAUUAGGUGACAGGUUGUAACGUGAUGUUAUAUAUUAAUUGAACUCGCAAUAGAAAUAUCUAAAUAGAGAUCACAGUCAAGCUGUAAUAAUCUGGUUUACGCUGCCAACAUUGAUUAUCCUUAUUAAUAUAUGCUAAUAUGCAAUAACUUAUACAAGUACACAUCCCAUCAAGUCACGGAGGCAAAUACAAGUCAUCAUAAGUUCAACGCAAGGGUAUGAGAUUCCGGCUAUUAUUUCUAACACUAAAGUGAUCAUACCUCAAGAUUAUUCGCAAAGCAAGAUGCAGCGAGUUGCGCAUCCAUGGCUGAACUCCAGGCAGUCCUCAGAGAGCCCACCAAGGUGUAUUCCAGCUAGCAGCACUCAGUAUCGUCAGCAUCAGCUUCUUCAGUUGAGAUCCAUUUGCAUCGAGGGGCAAUAUUUCCAUUCUCCAUUAUUGAAAAAGGUUUGAAGGGAUCAAAGCCAUACUGCAGUGGCAGUCUUUAUAUAAGUUCACACGGUCCGAUGAAAGUUUCUAAUAUUCUUCACAAAAUCAGAUGAUACCUAUGAUUUUAUACAACAGGCACCAGCAUUAUAAUGAAUAUAUGAAGAUCAUUAAUAAAGAAAGAUUUCUUCUUCAACUACUUAUCAGGAUAGGCUAGAAGAGGCCAAAAACCAGUACAAUGACAGUCUUCAUGUAAAUUCACACAGCCCAAUGAGAGCUUCCAAUAUUCUUCACAAAUUAUCAAAUAGUAAUGAUGACUUUAUACAACAAGCACCAGCAUUAUAAUAAAUAUGAAGAUUAUCAAUAAGAAAAGACUUAUUCAUUUAUUAUUCUUCAACUACUUAUCAGAUCACAAUAGAAAGGCUUGAAGAAUCAAGAUACAAUGGCAAUCUUCGUACAAAUUAACACAGCUCAAUGAGAAUUUCUAGUAUUCUUCACAAAUUAUCAGAUGACAACAGACAUCAGCAUUAUUAUAGAAUGAAGAUCAUCAAUGAAGAAAGAUUUCAUCUUACUACUUGUCAGGUCACAAUAGUAUAUGAAAAGCUUGAAAAGAGCAAAAACCACACUACGAUGGGAAUCUCCAUAUAAGUUCAUUCAGCCCAGGAAAAUUUCUCUGGUAUUCUUCGUCUAUACUACAAGUCAACAUCAGACCAUGCUUGUACAUAUAUCCAGAAAUUUCAGGGUUGUAUAAAACAACGCUUCUCACAUACCACUAAGAGAGUGCUUCAUAUUAUGAUGAUAUUUCUCACUACGCCAGGAUAACAGGGCCACAGAUUCAAGUUCAAUAAUCCCUUCCUCAGUAUUAAAUAGAAAGACCACCAUGUUACUAUCAAGACCAACCGUAUCACCGAUAAGGGAUUAAUUAAGGAAAGAACCUUACACAUAUCUUGUAACCAGUCUAUCUUAAUUGAUUAAUUGAUUUACUCGUAUCAAAAGAGUCACAGUUUAUCAUAUACAUUGAUAAACAAAUGUUUUACGUGCUACAUCCCAUCACUAUAUUAAGUGCAGAGUUAUGUAAAACAACGCUUCUCACAUACCACUAAGAAGUACUUGAUAUUAUGAUAUUUCUCACUACACCAGGAUAUCAAGGCCACAUGCUCAAGCUCAGUAACCUUUUCCUCAGUAUUAUAGAUAGAAAGACUAGCUAUAUUACUAUCGAGGCAACAACUGUAUCACCAAUAAGAGAUUAAUUAUAAAGUCUCACACGUGUCUUAUAUCCAGCCUAACUUAUAGUUUAAUUGAUUUACACAUAUCAAGAGAAUCACAGUUCAUCAUAUAUAAUAAACAGAUGUAUUACAUGUUACAUUCCAUCACUGUGUAAACACAGAUCUAAUACAACAUAAAAAGAGCGGAUUAUGCUGCAAUUGUAGUCUAUAUUAGCUUAGUUCGCAGAAGACAUCUAUUAUUACAAGUCUAUAACUAUACAUAUCACACCAGGAUGCCAGAGCCACACAUUCAAGUUCAAUAAACUUUCCCUCAGUGUCACAGACAGAAACCAGCUAUGUUACUGUCAGGACAACAACUGUAUCGCCAAUGAAAGGCUAAAAAGUCUCACACGUUUCUUAUAUCCAGUCUAACUUAGUUGUUCAACUGAUUUACACAUAUCAAAAGAGUCACAGUUUAUUAUAUAUAUUGAUAAACAAAAGUUUACGUGUUACAUUCCAUCACUGUGUUAAUCACAGAUCUAACACUUUAUAAGAAGAGCAAAUUAUGCUACAACUAUAGUGUUCGUGAUUCGAGGAGUUUCACUCGAAUGUCGUGAACGCGUGCGGCGGGUUCCGCUCCGCGAGAACGCGGGAUGAAUGUGCGAUGAGAGAGACGGCGGUAUAGCGUUGAGAAGGAGCGAGAGAGACAGAGUGAUAGAACGUUGAGAAGGAAAGAGAGAGACAGAAUGAUAGUGGACCGCGACCGCGAGACUGAAGAUUGAAGACGGGAGCGAGCGAGAGGAACAGAUUUAUAAAUGCACCAUGGUUGAAUCAAAUUAA
Nylanderia fulva is the source of this 2515-nucleotide non-coding RNA. The record is from RefSeq and is a predicted model, not a curated record. Lineage: Eukaryota; Metazoa; Arthropoda; Insecta; Hymenoptera; Formicidae.